Molecule: ribosomal RNA, 480 nt
Filed under: uncultured bacterium
Lineage: Bacteria
Description: bacterial SSU rRNA
Rfam family: Bacterial small subunit ribosomal RNA
Source: RNAcentral
AGUGAACGCUGGCGGCGUGCUUAACACAUGCAAGUCGAACGGUAACAGGAACUAGCUUGCUAGUUUGCUGACGAGUGGCGCACGGGUGAGUAAUAUAUAGUUAAUGUACCCCAAGACUGGGAUAGCCACUGGAAACGGUGAUUAAUACUAGAUACACCUCUUUAACAUAAGUUAGAGAGGGAAAUGUCUUUUCGCUUUGGGAUCAGACUAUAUCCUAUCAGUUAGUUGGUGAGGUAAUGGCUCACCAAGGCAAUGACGGGUAGCGGGUUUGAGAGGAUGAUCCGCCACACUGGUACUGAGACACGGACCAGACUCCUACGGGAGGCAGCAGUGAGGAAUAUUGCACAAUGGAGGAAACUCUGAUGCAGCAACGCCGCGUGGAGGAUGACGCAUUUUCGGUGUGUAAACUCCGUUUAUAUGUCAAGAAAAUGACGGUAGCAUAAUGAAUAAGCACCGGCUAACUCCGUGCCAGCAGACCGG